UACGGGGGGGGCAAGCGUUGUUCGGAAUUACUGGGCGUAAAGGGUUUGUAGGUGGCCGAUUAAGUCAUACGUGAAAUCCCUCAGCUUAACUGGGGAACUGCGUCUGAUACUGGUUGGCUUGAGUGCAGGAGAGGAACGCGGAAUUCCAGGUGUAGCGGUGAAAUGCGUAGAGAUGUGGAGGAACACCAAUGGCGAAGGCAGCCCCCUGGGCUCAAAUUGACGCUGAGGCACGAAAGCGUGGGGAGCAAACAGG
RNAcentral lists this ribosomal RNA (253 nucleotides) under uncultured bacterium. Its description in RNAcentral is "partial 16S ribosomal RNA". It matches the Rfam family "Bacterial small subunit ribosomal RNA", at positions 524 to 776 of the family's 1533-position model. The record is from RNAcentral.